GGGUGGAAUACGGGAGACGCUGCGGCAAAAUCCGCAGGGCCGAAGGAGCAACCGCCCCGGUAAACUCUCAGGCAAAAGGACCGCAUUUCACCA
Non-coding RNA from Thioclava indica, 93 nucleotides. NCBI's taxonomy places the organism in Bacteria, Pseudomonadati, Pseudomonadota, Alphaproteobacteria, Rhodobacterales, Paracoccaceae. The record is from Rfam.